Molecule: long non-coding RNA, 746 nt
Organism: Mauremys mutica (yellowpond turtle)
Lineage: Eukaryota; Metazoa; Chordata; Testudines; Geoemydidae
Exons: 3
Source: RefSeq, a predicted model, not a curated record
AGCUUCAGCUCCUCCUUGGAGGAAGAGGAGGGCUGGUACUGGGGACCAUGGCUGGGUUGGAGUUCCACUCUCCCUGGCCUUGGCCAAGAGGUGGUGGCUGGUACUGGGGUAACAGCAGGGGCUACGCUGAAUGAGGCCGAACAAAGUUCAUUGAAGAAAUGCACAAGCACAAGGAUCACCCCAGGAACUGUGCACAACAGAAACCUCUCCGAGAUAGCUCCACACCAUGGGAACUGUCUGACCCAGGUCCCAGCAAAAGAGCUUUCCAGCAACUGGGGGGGAAGCUAUACAAGAGGGAAAAUGACAAUGUGAGGGGUCCUCACUCUCCCUACAACACCACACCUGAAAACACCUGAGGAACAAAGACUGACUUGGGGGAAGUGAUGGUCCCAGGCUAAGAUCUUUAGCCUGUGUAGGGAAAGCUGGAAAAGCCAAGGCAACCUGUGCCUUCAGACUCUGCCAGCCUGUUUAUCACUUAGGGGUACCGCCCACAAGGGAGCACCCAGCACAGCUUGGAGGCACUAUUCAAAUUAAGAGGCUCAUCAAGAAACACUUGACUGACAGUGGCCCAUGGAGAUGCCCAUCUGCACUAGGGGACUGUCCUGUAAAUAUGCUGUCUGGAAUCUAGGUAAUGGCUUCCUGCAAUGACUGAGCACAACGGCAUAAACAUGUGACUCCAAACACCAUCUUGUUGCUGUAAUUUUCCACAGUAAGAACAAUGUGAUGCCCUCCACAUGGCAAAAGCU